This 50-nucleotide non-coding RNA is filed under the name Schistosoma mansoni. Lineage: Eukaryota; Metazoa; Platyhelminthes; Trematoda; Strigeidida; Schistosomatidae. The record is from RNAcentral.
ACCCAUCUGACGAGUCCCAAAUAGGGCGAAACGCGUUUCCUUCUUUACAU